UUAUUUAAGAGAUCUAACCUGCCCACUGAAAGAUUUUAAAGGGCCGCAGUAUUCUUGACUGUGCAAAGGUAGCAUAAUCAUUAGUCUUUUAAUUGAAGGCUAGAAUGAAUGGUUGGAUAAGGUAAAUUCUGUUUUAUAUUAAAUUAAUUGAAUUUAAAUUUUAAGUAAAAAAGCUUAAAUGAAAUUAAGGGACGAGAAGACCCUAUAGAGUUUAAUAAAUAUAUUAAUUAAUUAAGUUAAUAAAUAAUUUUUAGUUAUUAUAAAAUUUAUUUAAUUGGGGUGAUUAAAAGAUAAAAAAAACUCUUUUUUGGUUUUAAUAAUAUAAGUAGUUAUAUGAUCCAUAUUUAAUGAUUGUAAGAUUAAAUUACCUUAGGGAUAACAGCAUAAUUUCUUUUGAGAGUUCAUAUUGAGAAGGAAGAUUAUGACCUCGAUGUUGGAUUAAGAUUAAUUUUAGGUGUAGAUGUUUAAAAAUUAGGUCUGUUCGACCUUUAAAAUCUUACAUG
Molecule: ribosomal RNA, 503 nt
Filed under: Hestiasula sp. MN480
Lineage: Eukaryota; Metazoa; Arthropoda; Insecta; Mantodea; Hymenopodidae
Description: partial 16S ribosomal RNA
Rfam family: Bacterial large subunit ribosomal RNA
Source: RNAcentral